UAAACACGUGCUGAGCUCUAUUCU
This 24-nucleotide non-coding RNA is filed under the name Arabidopsis thaliana (thale cress). Lineage: Eukaryota; Viridiplantae; Streptophyta; Magnoliopsida; Brassicales; Brassicaceae. The record is from RNAcentral.